Molecule: long non-coding RNA, 983 nt
Organism: Hibiscus syriacus
Lineage: Eukaryota; Viridiplantae; Streptophyta; Magnoliopsida; Malvales; Malvaceae
Exons: 3
Source: RefSeq, a predicted model, not a curated record
UCCCUCCCUUAGCUCGCCACUGCUCCUCGCCAUCGAACCCAACUCUGGCUAGUGGUGUUGUACACCGCCUAUUGCAAACUGACCGACAACCUUUCGUGAGCAAAACCCCUCUAGCCCCAUAUAGUGAAACGUCUCCAUUAGCAGUGAAUUGAUGAUCAAAGCUUCACCGAGAACCUUUGUCGUCAAAGUUAUUUUCACGUUUUAGCAUCGAUUUCGUCGUCGUUCAGACACACCGCCCUUAUCAUGGUAUUUCUCACCCGUUUCUGACCAAAAUUUGACUCUCUUUGUGCUUCAUCAUUGUCGAUUCUCCGGCCACCAUGGUUGCACUUCAUGGACUUGGUUGCCGAAAACCAUCUAUUUUGAACAUCGCAGUCGCCCCACACGUCGCUCCUGCACGUGGGGGUUGUUUUUUCAACUGAGGAGCUUCUAGAAUGGCUCGAGCCGAGCCGAUUAUCCUUAGCCGAGUUGAUCCUAUCAACCCGAUACGAGUUGGCCCAAGUCGAGCCAUCAUCCAAGCUGAGCCACUGUUGAGUCAAGCUGUUUAAGCCUAUAAGUCGAUCCGUUGACCAAGCUAUUGACCGUUGACUUAAAUAGAGUUGACUGUGACCUUGACUAGGGUUGACUUUGACCAAAAAGUCAAAUUUUCGAAAAGUCAUCUUUUAUGUUUUUCGACGUACUGAGUCCAAAUUUGAAGUCUAUUUUGCCAAAUUCAAACUUGGUAAGCUAUUUUUGGAAUUUUAUUUCCCGAUUAAAUACGAAUUUUCACGUUUAAGUUCCGUUUCUAAUGUAAUUUGUUUUAACAUGUACCCGAGACAUUAUGGGGCGUGGAAUUAAAGUUUGAGGGCGAUCAAAUGGUGUUUCAUUGGUUAACCGAUGUGGCUAAAAAAUUGAGGUUAAAGGGUUUGAUCUUGUGCUUGUAUCGACAUCAGUAAUGGAGUCCCACCGGCAUUGUUUGCGGAGUACGGUGCAUGUAAUUAGGCGGC